This is a long non-coding RNA of Protopterus annectens (West African lungfish), 616 nucleotides long. RefSeq lists it as uncharacterized. The record is from RefSeq and is a predicted model, not a curated record. NCBI's taxonomy places the organism in Eukaryota, Metazoa, Chordata, Ceratodontiformes, Protopteridae. The transcript is spliced from 3 exons.
GGUGUUUGCUGAUUGUAUGUUGCGUUACCUUGUUUUACAAAAUGGAAUUCCGAGAUGGCACUAAUACUGCAAGCCAAAGAAUUAGGUUGUUGUUUCAAGGCUGGCAGGCACAAGCACAUGUAACCGGAGUCACCACUAUUAUCACUGUUGUAGAAGAUAAUGUUCUGGCUUAUUCUUGCUUCGAAACCAAAAAAUAAGCAGCAGGUUAAAGGUUGGAAAUGGGGAUUAUAAGACAGAGAAGAAGAAAGGAAGCACACAGAUGGUACUACACAAGAUGAACCAAUAAGGAAUUAGCUGGAUGGUGGUUUAUUGCAAGCAUUAUCUCACAACUUUAGCUCAGCUAUGCUAGACAAAUAAUUGCAUUUGGUUAGAAAGUGCCAAACUCUAACAGAAUUUACACUAUGAUAGGAAUGUUCAUUUCAGCAGAAUGGAACACAUGACUGCAUGAAAAUAAAAAUACACCAGAAUGCAUAUGAGCCAGUGACGUCAUCAUUCAUCUCUGAAGAAGAGCAUUAACCCUGUGUGCCACAGAAGCACUCAUAUGAAAGGCAUGAGAAAAAACAUGUAGCAGGAAAAUGGAAUACAGUUGCAUGCUGGAAACUGAAUAUUGUAAAAC